UUUUCUAUUUUCUGCCCUCUUCAUUUUUUCUAUUUUUCUUUUUUCUCCUCCUUUUUGCCUAUUUUUUGCCGUUUCUCUGCUCUAUUUUCUGCUUCCUUCUCCGCUGCCUUUUGGCUGCCACCUUCUCGCCUCCCUGCGUCCUUCCCAGCCAGCAGCUUUUAACCAAAAUGUCCUUUUUUCUCCUUUUUCUCCUCCUGCCCAGCCUCGGCACAGGCACCCUCAGCCUCUACAACCUCCUCUCCUCGCCAUUUUUUGGGCUCAAAUCUCGGCUUUUCUGGGCUGCGUGAAGCAGGCGUGCCCUCGGCGGUUUUGGGGAAAAACGGCCGCAAUUUGGGUUAAUUCGGGGUGGAGCCACUCCUCAGCCUCCUCCUCAAAUUCAUUACAAUUUGGCGUUUUCUCUCUUCCAUUAUUUAAAUCUUCCUCACGUCUACAUUUUUAUCUUCGCUCUUGAUUUAUUUUUUUUUCCAAAUUAUUUCCUCCUUUCCAUUAAUCUUCUCCUUAAGCCAUCUUCUAUCUCUUUAGCACCGAAAUUUUGGAUUUUUUAGCUCAGAUUUUUUUUUUUUUCCUCCUCCUCUUCGGCUCCACACCCUCCGGCUGGCGGCUUGUGAAAAGCCCCAAUUUCCCCUGAUCCUGC
Molecule: long non-coding RNA, 634 nt
Filed under: Anas platyrhynchos platyrhynchos (common mallard)
Lineage: Eukaryota; Metazoa; Chordata; Aves; Anseriformes; Anatidae
Description: lncRNA (ENSAPLG00000029507.1)
Source: RNAcentral